RNAcentral lists this ribosomal RNA (1855 nucleotides) under Alcyonosyllis phili. RNAcentral describes it as "SSU rRNA". It matches the Rfam family "Eukaryotic small subunit ribosomal RNA". Lineage: Eukaryota; Metazoa; Annelida; Polychaeta; Phyllodocida; Syllidae. The record is from RNAcentral.
GCAAGCGAGUACACAGUGAAACUGCGAAUGGCUCAUUAAAUCAGUUGUGGUUUAUUGGAUCGUACGACCCCAAGUGGAUACCUGUGGCAAACCUAGAGCUAAUACCUGCAGUGAAUGCCUCGAUCUCCGGGGGAGRCUCCGGGAGAGGGGCGCAGUUAUUAUACCAAGACCAACCGUGGGUGCCUCCUUUGGAGCCCCGCCCCCGCUCUGUGGUGACUCUGGGUAACCUCGGGCUGAUCGCAUGGCCAGCGUGCCGGCGACGUAUCUUUCAAAUGUCUGCCCCAUCAAAUGUCGAAGGGAGGUGCCUUGCCUCCCUUGUUCGCAACGGGUGACGGGGAAUCAGGGUUCGAUUCCGGAGAGGGAGCAUGAGAAUCGGCUACCACGUCCAAGGAAGGCAGCAGGCGCGCAAAUUACCCACUCCUGACACGGGGAGGUAGUGACGAAAAAUCACGGGGCGGGAUUCCAUCUAACCCCCCCGCAAUGAGUACACCUUAAAUCCUUGUACGAGGAUCCAUUGGAGGGCAAGUCUGGUGCCAGCAGCCGCGGAACUCCAGCUCCAUAUUAAAGUUGUUGCAGUUAAAAAGCUCGUAGUUGGAUCUCAGUGCGGGCGGGUGGUGGUGACAUCGUGGCACCCUAUGGCCUCACGGCCGCCGCGGUGGUAGGCCGCCGCCGCCGCAUCACCGGCGGGGGGAGCACCCAUGCGAAGGUAUGGGGCAUGCUCCUGCCCCCCCAGGAGUGGGGGCAGUUGGUGGUUGUCGGUUGAUGGCCAUCGGCACCCAGCCGAGUUUACCUUGAAGAAAUUAGAGUGUUCAAGGCCGGGUUUGAAGGAGCCCGAAUAAUAGUGCGUGGAAUAAUGGAAGAGGACCCCGGUCCCGAUUCCGUUGGUUUUCUCCGGGACUGGAGGUAAUGAUUAAGAGGGGCAGGCGGGGGCACUCGUACUGCGGCGUGAGAGGUGAAAUUCUGGGACCGCCGCAUGACGGACUAGUGCGAAAGCAUCUGCCAAGGAUGUUUUCAUUAAUCAAGAGCGAAAGUCAGAGUUUCGAAGACGAUCAGAUACCGUCCUAGUUCUGACCAUAAACGGUGCCGACUGGCGAUCCGCCGGUGGUGCGUAAUGUUGAAAUUGUUUAAGCCCCGGCGGGCAGCCCCAGGGAAACCGAGCAAGUCUUUGGGUUCCGGGGGAAGUAUGGUUGCAAAGCUGAAACUUAAAGGAGUUGACGGAAGGGCACCACCAGGAGUGGAGCCUGCGGCUUAAUUCGACUCAACACGGGGGAAGCUUACCCGGCCCGGACACCGUAAGGAUUGACAGAUUAAGCGAGCUUUCAUCAUUCGGUGGGUGGUGGUGCAUGGCCGUUCUUAGUUGGUGGAGCGAUCCGUCAGGUUGAUUCCGAUAACGGACGAGACCCCGGCCCCUGAUUAGUCCGCCCCGAGGUGAAUCGGAGGGGUGUCCAAUGAGAGAACUUAUAAGGGGGAGAAGCGGCGUGGGUGAGCCGCGCGAACCGUGGGCAAUAACAGGUCUGUGAUGCCCUUAGAUGUCCGGGGCCGCACGCGUGCUACACUGAAGGAGGCAGAUGGUCGAGUCCUGGCCCGUCAGGGUGGGGCAAGCCGUGGAGAAACUCUUUCGUGCCUGGGACUGGGGUUUGGAAAUGACCCCCUGAACGAGGAAUUCCCAGUAAGCGCGAGUCACCAUCUCGUGUUGAUCAAGUCCCUGCUCUUUGUACACACCGCCCGUCGCUACUACCGAUCGUUUGGUUUGGUGAGGCCUUCGGACGGGAGUGGCGCCGAGAGGCGCUGCCCGGAAGGAGGACGAACUUGAUCAUGUAGAGGAAGUAAAAGUCGUAACAAGGUUUCCGUAGGU